UGGGGAAUAUUGCACAAUGGAGGGAACUCUGAUGCAGCAACGCCGCGUGCGGGAUGACGGCCUUCGGGUUGUAAACCGCUUUCAGCCAUGACGAAGCUUUUGUGACGGUAGUGGUAGAAGAAGCAACGGCUAACUACGUGCCAGCAGCCGCGGUGAUACGUAGGGUGCGAGCGUUGUCCGGAAUUAUUGGGCGUAAAGAGCUUGUAGGCGGUUUGUCGCGUCGAUAGUGUAAACACGCAGCUUAACUGUGUGCCUGCUGUCGAUACGGGCUGACUAGAGGAGGGUAGGGGAGAAUGGAAUUCCCGGUGGAGCGGUGGAAUGCGCAGAUAUCGGGAGGAACACCAGUGGCGAAGGCGGUUCUCUGGACCUUUCCUGACGCUGAGAAGCGAAAGCGUGGGUAGCAAACAGG
RNAcentral lists this ribosomal RNA (409 nucleotides) under Fusobacteriota bacterium. RNAcentral describes it as "Fusobacteria bacterium partial 16S ribosomal RNA". It matches the Rfam family "Bacterial small subunit ribosomal RNA", at positions 355 to 776 of the family's 1533-position model. Lineage: Bacteria; Fusobacteriati; Fusobacteriota. The record is from RNAcentral.